This is a long non-coding RNA of Rhagoletis zephyria (snowberry fruit fly), 256 nucleotides long. RefSeq lists it as uncharacterized. The record is from RefSeq and is a predicted model, not a curated record. Lineage: Eukaryota; Metazoa; Arthropoda; Insecta; Diptera; Tephritidae.
UUUAUUGAGACACUCAAAGUUUGCAACUGAGUCUGCCAUCACAGGAGAUUGGAAAUCAUUCAUUGCUUUAGCAAACAAAAACCAAAAGAAGAUUCACGAUAGCAACAAGAGGAAAACUACUGUCCCGUGCCCAAAUCACACCGGUCCUCAGUAUCAGGCCACAUGCUGGCCACGCGGUCUCGUCGUUUUUUCCUAGCUGCCCAAGCUUAGGAAAUUGAUACACAGCUCACCCCCCCGGGGCGCUUGGGGGAAAAAA